This 435-nucleotide ribosomal RNA is filed under the name uncultured bacterium. Its description in RNAcentral is "bacterial SSU rRNA". It matches the Rfam family "Bacterial small subunit ribosomal RNA", at positions 355 to 787 of the family's 1533-position model. The record is from RNAcentral.
UGACGAAUAUUGGUCAAUGGGAGGAAUCCUGAACCAGCCAUGCCGCGUGCAGGACGACGGCUCUACGAGUUGUAAACUGCUUUUGUACCGGGGUAAAAUGCUCUACGAGUAGGGUUUUGAAAGUACGGUACGAAUAAGGAUCGGCUAACGCCGUGCCAGCAGCCGCGGUAAUACGGAGGAUCCGAGCGUUAUCCGGAUUCAUUGGGUUUAAAGGGUGCGUAGGUUGUUUUAUAAGUUAGCGGUGAAAUACCGAUGCUCAACAUCGGGGCUGCCGCUAAUACUGUAGGACUAGAGAUCGGAUGCAGCAGGCGGAAUGUGUAGUGUAGCGGUGAAAUGCAUAGAUAUUACACAGAACACCGAUUGCGAAGGCAGCUUGCUAGGCCGGAUCUGACACUGAUGCACGAAAGCGUGGGGAUCGAACAGGAUUAGAUACCC